GUGGAUAUAGCUCAGAGGUAGAGUGUGUGCUUAGCAUGUACAGGGUCCUGGGUUCAAUCCCCAGGACCUUCA
This 72-nucleotide transfer RNA is filed under the name Camelus bactrianus (Bactrian camel). It matches the Rfam family "tRNA". Rfam says of the family: Transfer RNA (tRNA) molecules are approximately 80 nucleotides in length. The record is from Rfam by way of RNAcentral. Lineage: Eukaryota; Metazoa; Chordata; Mammalia; Artiodactyla; Camelidae. RNAcentral also lists the same sequence under 2 other names.